Molecule: long non-coding RNA, 234 nt
Organism: Conger conger (European conger)
Lineage: Eukaryota; Metazoa; Chordata; Actinopteri; Anguilliformes; Congridae
Exons: 3
Source: RefSeq, a predicted model, not a curated record
GAAACCUGGUGGAGAACGCAUAAUAAAUGAAUACCAUCGAACCAAGUCCUUGCAGGAUGACAACAGAAGGAAAAUGGUGAACAUAUUGGCAGCUGACUUGACAGAGAAGAAUGGUACUUCACCACCCAGACAGCUGAAAGAAAAGUAUGCCAGAGGAAUCGUGACCUUAUUCCCCUACCUCAGUGACCCACACUCUAAGAAUGGCUAUGAGCAUUAUUAUGAUGGCGAGAGUGG